UCGAGAAUCUUCCACAAUGGACGAAAGUCUGAUGGAGCGACACCGCGUGCAGGAUGAAGGCCCUAGGGUUGUAAACUGCUGUCACGCUAUAGGAACCCACGGUGGUGAAUAGUCAUCGUGCUGACUAAAGCGAGAGGAAGCGCCGGCUAACUCCGUGCCAGCAGCCGCGGUAAUACGGAGGGCGCAAGCGUUGUUCGGAUUCACUGGGCAUAAAGAGCACGUAGGCGGUCUGCUCAGUCGGGUGUGAAAGCCCACGGCCUAACCGUGGAACUGCACCCGAUACUGGUAGACUCGAGGACGGAAGGGGUGAGUGGAACUCCAGGUGGAACGGUGAAAUGUAUAGAUAUCUG
Molecule: ribosomal RNA, 350 nt
Filed under: uncultured bacterium
Lineage: Bacteria
Description: bacterial SSU rRNA
Rfam family: Bacterial small subunit ribosomal RNA
Source: RNAcentral